RNAcentral lists this long non-coding RNA (1153 nucleotides) under Homo sapiens (human). Its description in RNAcentral is "HSALNT0322135". The record is from RNAcentral. Lineage: Eukaryota; Metazoa; Chordata; Mammalia; Primates; Hominidae.
CUGCAUAGGGUGUGACUAUCAGGAACCAUGGCUCACUGGAGCACCAUCUUUGGAGUCUAGCUAACACAGCAUCUUGGAUGCACUCCUAAGAGAAGACUACCUGAAAGGCGUGUACACUGGUCUAGCAGUUGAGAUCAGCUAGUGUUCCAUCUAUCUUCUGUCAUGUAUCUCUUCUAAGAUGUCUUGAUCGACUGACCCCAAAGCCAGAGGGUACCAGGUCAAAAAGCAAGUUUGGAAGUCUGGAAAAGUUCAAGAUUGGCCAUCUGCAGCUGGUGAGAGCCUCAGGCUGCUUCCCCUCAUGGUGGAAGGUGAAGGGGAGCUGGUGUGUGCAGAGAUUACAUGCUUUUCUAGGUCAUCAUUCUAGGCUUUGUUGAAGCAUGCAUUUUUGGCAUGAGGGUGGCAGCCUUUGCACUAUGUGCAUGGCUGAGGAGUUAGGAUCUGGAGGGUGAUGAAAGCAAAGGUGCUGCUGGUUACUCUUGGUUCAUCUAGCAAUAGAUGAUCUGAAUGUUAGAGUUCGCCAAAUAUUGUUCCUGGGCAGUCUUUGCUCUACCAAAUCAACUUUCUCCAUGGGGGAGCUAGAAGUCACCCCACAUUCUCCGCCAUGGCCAGCUCUACAUUCUAAGAGAACCAAUGGCUCUACCCAACAUAUUCUUCUCACCACAGAUGACAAAGACACAAGGAGCCAAGACAGAUCAUUCAAGCAUAUUCAUUGCCUCUAUCUUCAUCCCAUUAAAUAACAUCCCGCCAACCAAAGCAAGUUAUCUGCAUAAGAAUAAAUAUUCCACCUACUCUACUGCAAGGCCCUGCAAGAGUCAUGAGACAAAAGGAUCCUCUGUGGACAGCACCCAAGAUGGAAACAACUGACAGUCUAUGGCCAGGGCUAUACUCUGGUGAAACUGAAAGGUGUCUGCAUGGAAGUGUCUGACUACCACCAUCCACUCAGGCAAAUGCAUUUGUUUCCCUCUAUUCAUUAUUAGAAGAGAGGAGAUUACAUACCAGACAUAUACCAAUAGGUUUUCUCUUCAUAAUACCUACGUCAUCUAGUAGCAUAACAUAAGGCAGAAUCCUUCAAAGGUUGACUCCUAGAGAUGGAAGAGCUGUAAGCAGAGACAGAAAAGUAUGUUUUCACACAAACUCUUUGGCUCAUUAGCAG